The sequence is a transfer RNA, 83 nucleotides long. It matches the Rfam family "tRNA". Rfam says of the family: Transfer RNA (tRNA) molecules are approximately 80 nucleotides in length. Their secondary structure includes four short double-helical elements and three loops (D, anti-codon, and T loops). Further hydrogen bonds mediate the characteristic L-shaped molecular structure. tRNAs have two regions of fundamental functional importance: the anti-codon, which is responsible for specific mRNA codon recognition, and the 3' end, to which the tRNAs corresponding amino acid is attached (by aminoacyl-tRNA synthetases). tRNAs cope with the degeneracy of the genetic code in two manners: having more than one tRNA (with a specific anti-codon) for a particular amino acid; and 'wobble' base-pairing, i.e. permitting non-standard base-pairing at the 3rd anti-codon position.
GCAGUGGUAGGAAAGCGGUCUAAUCCACCGGUCUCGAAAACCGGGCCUUUACGGGCUCGUGGGUUCGAAUCCCACCCACUGCG